CAAUAGCGUAUAUUAAAGUUGUUGCGGUUAAAAAGCUCGUAGUUGGAUUUCUGCUGAGGACGACCGGUCCGCCCUCUGGGUGAGUAUCUGGCUCGGCCUUGGCAUCUUCUUGGAGAACGUUGCUGCACUUGACUGUGUGGCGCGGUAUCCAGGACAUUUACUUUGAGGAAAUUAGAGUGUUUCAAGCAGGCAUACGCCUUGAAUACAUUAGCAUGGAAUAAUAAGAUAGGACCUCGGUUCUAUUUUGUUGGUUUCUAGAGCUGAGGUAAUGAUUAAUAGGGAUAUUUGGGGGCAUUCGUACUAACCGGUCAGAGGUGGAAUUCUUGGAUUCGGUUAUGACGAACGACUGCGAAAGCAUUUGUCAAGAAUGUUUUCAUUGA
This 380-nucleotide ribosomal RNA is filed under the name uncultured eukaryote. RNAcentral's name for it is "partial 18S ribosomal RNA". It matches the Rfam family "Eukaryotic small subunit ribosomal RNA", at positions 592 to 976 of the family's 1831-position model. The record is from RNAcentral.